Molecule: long non-coding RNA, 845 nt
Organism: Piliocolobus tephrosceles (Ugandan red Colobus)
Lineage: Eukaryota; Metazoa; Chordata; Mammalia; Primates; Cercopithecidae
Exons: 5
Source: RefSeq, a predicted model, not a curated record
GGAAAGGAAUAAUUUCCCGGGGAGGAUUGAAAGGUCGAGGGAAAAAGGAACUGGAGAGCAUCUCCCAGAGAAUCAGGGUCCCCUGCAUGGUAGGGCACCCUCACAGUUUUCUUAGUGUGAAAUAUGAACUCAUGAGCAUAUGGCCUGGGAACUGGACCAGUUUUAAAUCUCGUGUUGAGAGCCAGAAGAUGCUGGAGAAGGAAAGUGGUGGAAUAACUGCCCGAGAAUGAACCAUUCUCCAAUGAGAGGAAAGAAGCAGAACGUCAGGUCUGUACCUCACUUUGAAGGAUCAUCACGGCGUGGUUGAAAUGGUGAUGCUCCAAGGUAGCAGAGGUUCCAUAGAGUUGGGCCAGGGCGGAACCGCUCCUGAAAGAGGACAGAGGGGGGCUUCAACAUUGAAAGGGCAAUCUGGCCUUAACUUGGAAAUGCUGGAGAUUGACUGCACACAAUGUGUCCUGCUAGUGAGAGAAGCAAGGACUGCAUCUAAGUGCAGCAUGAAAACUUUUGGUCCCAAGCUUUCCUCCAGCUUCAGUGGGAGGCAGCCCAAAACCACCAUCGGUUCAAGGGUAAAGGGACCUGCAAUUCUUGGAAAGACUCUCCCAAUUCUUCUCCCAACAUGUGGUCAGCUCUUCCAGCAGGAUUAGGGAGGGAGGAGUUUCAGCUGUGCUUCUAAAAUCUUCCAGAAGGAAUUUUCUACCUCUAAAAUCAAGGACUUUCCUGGAAACUGCAGUCAGAGGACAGAACAUUAGCCUCAAGCUGGUGAAUAGGAUGGAUUUUCUCCCUAAACAUCCCUUCUGCUCUCUAGUUUGAAUUAUCAAUAAAAUGGUUUGGCUUAUCUCUGAAAA